AAAUAUUAAAGUGAAUCAUACAUAAUGAAGCCUGCAGGACACCAGCUGACAGUGGAAGGACUGAGGAAGGUUGUAUAAUUUUGUGCAAGGUCCACCACAAAUCCAGCUGAAGAACUGCUCCAAAGUUUAGGUCAUGGCAAGAACAAGACUGGAUCACUCCAUGUCAGUGGAAACAUGUCCACCAACUUCAUCAUUGUCUGUUGUCAUGGUUCACUUUAGAUGUAAACUUGACUGGAUUAAGGAUUCCCUAAAGUGUCAGGCCUCUGAGCCCAAGCUAAGCCAUCAUAUCCCCUGUGACCUGCAUGUACACAUCCAGAUGGCCGGUUCCUGCCUUAACUGACGACAUUCCACCACAAAAGAAGUGAAAAUGGCCUGUUCCUGCCUUAACUGAUGACAUUAUCUUGUGAAAUUCCUUCUCCUGGCUCAUCCUGGCUCCAAAGCUCCCCCACUGAGCACCUUGUGACCCCCACUCCUGCCCACCAGAGAACAACCCCCUUUGACUGUAAUUUUCCUUUACCUUCCCAAAUCUUAUAAAAUGGCCCCACCCCAUCUCCCUUUGCUGACUUUCUUUUCAGACUCAGCCCUCCUGCAACCAGUUGAUUAAAAGCUUUAUUGCUCAC
This 620-nucleotide long non-coding RNA is filed under the name Homo sapiens (human). Its description in RNAcentral is "HSALNT0359282". The record is from RNAcentral. Lineage: Eukaryota; Metazoa; Chordata; Mammalia; Primates; Hominidae.